UUUUUUUUUGUUUGUUUUUUGUGUGUAUUUUGGUUUCUUGGUUUUUGUUUGUUUUGUGGGGUCUCGUUGUCAUAGUUGAUGUUGUCAUGUCAUUUUGUUGUUAUUUUUUUCCUCAGAACUGAAGCUCGCUGGGGUUCUGCACAGCCUGUGGGAAGGUCUUUCAGCUUGACAAAUGUAUGGAAUAUCACGUAAGAAGCACAUGGCCUUACAGAAACCUGCCUUUAUUCUGCAUAAAUUAAUGUUCUGUGCUAUACCAAAAUAUUUAUGGAUUUUGAAAAGUAAAGAGAUAUAAGUAGCAAUGAUAUUCUUGAAAACAAGCCAGUCAUAUUUUCUGUCAGAGGGAAUGCAGUACAUUAUCCAACUUGCAAGUCUGAGACCUUUUGAAGGGAUGUAUAUUGCCAGAACAAAGUGCCUUUGAGUCAUUAAAAAGUACAUAUGUGAAAUUUUCCAACAGUUGUAAUUUUAAAUAAGAGAUUUGUUGACAAGCUGAAGUGAAUGCUGGAGCUGUCUCUGAGGCACGUGCAGGCAGUUGGCAUAGCUGUCAGAGCUAAUAAAAAAGGAAAUAACCAGUCAGGGAGGUGCAGAAGAAGUAAGAACGAUUUUGCUGAGAAAAACCACACAAUUAAAAUCAAAUGCAAGGUGCUUCCAGAGAACACUGGUUAUCUGAGCAGGCAUGAGAAAGAGAAGGGAGAAAGUUAUUUCUGGGACAGAGCCAGCAGGAAUUGUUUUAAAGAUCUGAAAGAGAGAAAACCUGUUUCUUUGCUGAAGUGGUUCAGGGUAAUGUUCAAUAAUGGGGUGGUCAGAUUUUUGGGGUACGUCAAAGCUCUAUUCCGGUUAUAAUCACUCACGUGUGCCUGACAUCUUUACCUCUUUGGAGUUAUCAUCAGGAAUCCUCCUAUACCAAACCAAAUCUUUGAGAAGAGCUUCAGACCCACUAGAAAGCUGACCCUUCGCGUGUCUGAAUAGAAGUUGUUUUAGAGGACAGCCAGUAACAUAUUUUUGAACAAUUCAAGUAAUACCUUUUGGUGUUGGUCAGACUGGAUGACAUAGAUGUACAGCAGAAUGAUCGGAGCGGUAUGCAGUUGUCUGUAUCCGCAUACAGCCAGUGAGGUUUAAAGAAAUAUGGAGGAAGAAAGGUGUAAUUUCUGUCUGUUAUCUACCAUAUUACUGCGCAACCUCAGCUGUAGAUGAAGAAAGUAUUGGUAAAUCUAAAGUAAGAAGAAAUUAAAAGAUACCUGUCUUGGAAAAAGGACAUCAUAUUACAAAGGUCCUUUCUUGCUCAAUUCAAACUAACUGAAGAAAAUUUUGAAGGACUUGAGGAUCUUGAAGUAAAAGAGAGAGACAAAACUGUACGGUUCAACAAAAUUAAUUGCAGCAAAUAAUCAAAUUCAGUACUGAAGGUAUCUGACCAAGACAUAUGUUUGAAUUCAGAAAACAGAACCAAGAGGCAACUAACUACAUGUGGAUUGGACUUGCUAGUUUCUCUUGAUAAUGCAUUUUUGGAGCUAGCUUAUACCUAACUUUGGAGGAUUAAGGUGUUAAAAACUUGCUUAAAAUCAAUUCUGAGUGGAUAAAUAAUAAAGUAAAGGAGCAUACUUAUGAGGACUUAAAAUAUUUAUUGACCUUAUACCCAGUACUGGCAUUUAAUGAUAUUUCCAAGUCUUCUGCUAUUUCAGAAGGUACUAGCUGUGUUUAGUGAUAUAAUAUUAUAGUCAUGAAGAGAAGAUUGGAGACUCAUAUUGUUUUCGGUGGCUUUUGGGCUCCAAAAGUAGUUUUGUCCGAAGAAAGCAAACAUGAUCAGAAAAUGUGUAAACAUAUCCGAGGAUCAGAAGAUAUUUGUGGAUUCUUGGUAAAUUCAAAAUCUCAGCUGACAACAAACCAUUUCAAGCCUAACACAAGUUUUUCCUUAGACAUAACUGCUUCCUUGUAUUUACUGUAGCAUUGAAUACUUAAUAUGAAAAGUGUUCAAGAGAAUUUAAUAGUAAUAAGUAACAUCAUGCUGAAGAGUCCUAUUUGAUUGCCAAGAUUAAAAUUUUGGGAUGAUUCAGAGAUUAAUGUAGAUGUCAUUUUUUUGGCUUGGUAACUUCAUUGCAGGGAAUUGCUUAAAGCGCUAAGAAAACCAGACCUGUUUAAUAGUUCAAAGCUUAAAUAUAGAUGAUAUCUACAUAUAUGAAAUGUGUGAGGCAUUGAAUUGAAAGUUUUAUUACUUAGGAGGAGUUGCAUAUCAAAUCUUUUUUUUUUUUUUUUAAUUAAAUGAGAGGAGCACUUGAUGAGUGUGAAGAUAAUCAUAUUCCCACAACAAAAUCAUCAUAGAGGAAAAUGUAGUGUGAAGAAUACAGGAGAUACCAAGACCUCAAAAAUCCUUAAAAUGCAUUUAAAAAUACAUCAUUAGUGACAAAAACUGAUAGUUCUAUGGUUCUAAGUCUCAGACAUGAAGAUACAGUACACUUUCAUUCAUACCAGUUACAACUCCUGUUGCGCCCAAGGCUUGAAUGAUGGGCACAGCAGUAUGCAUCACCAGGAGAAAUCUACAAUGAAGGACCUCAUAUUAGCUCUUCUCAUCUGUACAGAAACUCAUUUAUCAGCUAGUCCUGUUGAUGAAUCUUCAAUGGGUUUCAGAAAGGAUUAUGAUAUGACACAAGUAGCAAUGAUUUUCUCACCGAAGCUCCAUGAAGAAAGUCAGUGUGGUGCAAAAUGUCCUUCUCAGUAUAUAUGUAUGGAUUUGACAAUCUGUAUCAGUCAGCUGAGCAAAUCAUGGUAAAACAGAUAACUGUUAAAUCAACCGGCUUCCAGAGUACAUUUGGUUUGGUAUUAACUCUAUUAAUAAGAAGGUUGUUGUAGAAUUUUCUUUAGAGAAGAAUUUGGUAGGACUGAUAUGAACAUCAAUACUGUGGGAUUUUUUAAAUUGUAAGAGUAACUUUCAUAUUAUUAAUCUUUGUAAUUUCAAAAGAAGUUCCUAUGUUCAUAUCUCAAAAAAAAAGUGAUUAUUUUCUGUAAAUCUUCAUGUAGUAACAUGGCAUAACAUAUUAAGUAUGCAUACAGCAGAUACAUCUCAAGGCCAUCCUUGCAGAUUUGAGUUUAAGAAUAAUACAUGUAAAUACUGUGCAACUAAAUGCCUUUGAUGGCAGAAGAAUAAGGAACUAAAUCAAUUUAAAAUAGCUAAGUCUUCUUUAGUUCAAAUAUUUGCUUUUUAAUGUCUUAAAACAGUUUUUAAACAGCAAAGUAGAGGCAAUCCAUUAGAUAAGGAGAAUUGAAGAGAACAACAAACUGUUGUAUGUUGUCACUGAGUGGACAACAGCCACCGAAAGGACUUGGAAUCUCAUGUCAUCCCAUAACUGUCUGUGGAAUCAUUUGCUUGAAAGAAAUGUGUAAGAAAUACCAUUGUAAACAGAUGUGGGAUUAAUAUUUUGUUGCAAGCCCCGAGAGAGUUUAUUUUAAGCACUGAAGUAUUUUGCUUAACAUGUCUUUCAAUACUUUGAGCAGUCUUUUAUAAAUGUUGCUUAUAUAAUUUCCCAUAAUUCCUUUUAAAAUCUCACUGAAUUCCUACUUAUAUGUAAUUGAUGUAAUUCUAUAGAAUUUAUAGGAAUGCCAUUUGUGUGUCAUUUAUAUAAAUUUCUAUUAAAUCUAUUCAACAUCA
Molecule: long non-coding RNA, 3637 nt
Organism: Tyto alba (common barn owl)
Lineage: Eukaryota; Metazoa; Chordata; Aves; Strigiformes; Tytonidae
Exons: 2
Source: RefSeq, a predicted model, not a curated record